RNAcentral lists this ribosomal RNA (468 nucleotides) under uncultured bacterium. RNAcentral's name for it is "partial 16S ribosomal RNA". It matches the Rfam family "Bacterial small subunit ribosomal RNA", at positions 28 to 507 of the family's 1533-position model. The record is from RNAcentral.
GACGAACGCUGGCGGCGUGCUUAACACAUGCAAGUCGAACGGAAAGGCCCUGCUUUUGUGGGGUGCUCGAGUGGCGAACGGGUGAGUAACACGUGAGUAACCUGCCCUUGACUUUGGGAUAACUUCAGGAAACUGGGGCUAAUACCGGAUAGGAGCUCCUGCUGCAUGGUGGGGGUUGGAAAGUUUCGGCGGUUGGGGAUGGACUCGCGGCUUAUCAGCUUGUUGGUGGGGUAGUGGCUUACCAAGGCUUUGACGGGUAGCCGGCCUGGGAGGGUGACCGGCCACAUUGGGACUGAGAUACGGCCCAGACUCCUACGGGAGGCAGCAGUGGGGAAUAUUGCACAAUGGGCGGAAGCCUGAUGCAGCAACGCCGCGUGCGGGAUGACAGCCUUCGGGUUGUAAACCGCUUUCGCCUGUGACGAAGCGUGAGUGACGAUAAUGGGUAAAGAAGCACCGGCUAACUACGUG